UACGAAGGUCCCGAGCGUUGUUCGGAAUCACUGGGCGUAAAGGGAGCGUAGGCGGCGUGGUAAGUCAGAUGUGAAAUCCCGGGGCUCAACCCCGGAACUGCAUCCGAUACUGCCAUGCUAGAGGAUUGGAGAGGUAGCUGGAAUUCUUGGUGUAGCAGUGAAAUGCGUAGAGAUCAAGAGGAACACUCGUGGCGAAAGCGAGCUACUGGACAAUUCCUGACGCUGAGGCUCGAAGGCUAGGGUAGCGAAAGGG
This 253-nucleotide ribosomal RNA is filed under the name uncultured bacterium. RNAcentral's name for it is "partial 16S ribosomal RNA". It matches the Rfam family "Bacterial small subunit ribosomal RNA", at positions 524 to 776 of the family's 1533-position model. The record is from RNAcentral.